AUUGAACGCUGGCGGCAUGCCUUACACAUGCAAGUCGAACGGUAACAGGUUAAGCUGACGAGUGGCGAACGGGUGAGUAAUGUAUCGGAACGUGCCCAGUUGUGGGGGAUAACUGCUCGAAAGAGCAGCUAAUACCGCAUACGACCUGAGGGUGAAAGCGGGGGAUCGCAAGACCUCGCGCAAUUGGAGCGGCCGAUAUCAGAUUAGGUAGUUGGUGGGGUAAAGGCUCACCAAGCCGACGAUCUGUAGCUGGUCUGAGAGGACGACCAGCCACACUGGGACUGAGACACGGCCCAGACUCCUACGGGAGGCAGCAGUGGGGAAUUUUGGACAAUGGGCGCAAGCCUGAUCCAGCCAUGCCGCGUGCGGGAAGAAGGCCUUCGGGUUGUAAACCGCUUUUGUCAGGGAAGAAACGCUCUGGGUUAAUACCUUUGGAGAUUGAUGUUACCUGCAGAAUAAGCACCGGCUAACUCCGUGCCAGCCGCCGCCGUAA
This 493-nucleotide ribosomal RNA is filed under the name uncultured bacterium. RNAcentral's name for it is "partial 16S ribosomal RNA". It matches the Rfam family "Bacterial small subunit ribosomal RNA", at positions 30 to 523 of the family's 1533-position model. The record is from RNAcentral.